This 1165-nucleotide ribosomal RNA is filed under the name uncultured Mycoplasma sp. RNAcentral describes it as "bacterial SSU rRNA". It matches the Rfam family "Bacterial small subunit ribosomal RNA", at positions 167 to 1376 of the family's 1533-position model. The record is from RNAcentral. Lineage: Bacteria; Bacillati; Mycoplasmatota; Mollicutes; Mycoplasmatales; Mycoplasmataceae.
UACCCCAUAGGAAGCUUUAUCCAUGAUUUAGCCUUUAAAGCCUUCGGGCGCUGAGGGAUUGGGAUAUGCUCUAUUAGCUAGUUGGCGGGAUAAAAGCCCACCAAGGCAAUGAUAGAUAGCUGGUCUUAGAGGAUGAACAGCCACAAUGGGAUUGAGAUACGGCCCAUAUUCCUACGGGAAGCAGCAGUAGGGAAUCUUCCACAAUGGACGAAAGUCUGAUGGAGCAAUACCAUGUGAACGAUGAAGGCCUUUUUGGUUGUAAAGUUCUUUUACGAGGGAUAAUUAUGAUAGUACUUCGUGAGUAAGUGACAGCAAACUAUGUGCCAGCAGCUGCGGUGAUACAUAGGUCGCAAGCAUUAUUCGGAUUUAUUGGGCGUAAAGCAAGCGCAGGCGGAUGUGUAAGUUCUGUGUUAAAUGCAGCUACUCAAUAGUUGUAUGCACCGAAUACUACAUGUCUAGAUUGUGGUAGGGAGUUUCGGAAUUAAGCAUGGAGCGGUGGAAUGUGUAGAUAUGCUUAAGAACACCAGAGGCGAAGGCGGAAACUUAGGCCAUAAAUGACGCUUAGGCUUGAAAGUGUGGGGAGCAAAUGGGAUUAGAUACCCCAGUAGUCCACACCGUAAACGAUGGGUAUUAGAUAUUAGGGCUUUAGCUUUAGUGUUGUAGCUUACGCGUUAAAUACCCCGCCUGGGUAGUACAUAUGCAAAUAUGAAACUCAAAGGAAUUGACGGGGACCUGAACAAGUGGUGGAGCAUGUUGCUUAAUUCGAUAAUACACGAAAAACCUUACCAAGGUUUGACAUCCAUCGCAAAGCUAUAGAAAUAUAGUAGAGGUUAUCGAGGUGACAGGUGGUGCAUGGCUGUCGUCAGCUCGUGUCUUGAGAUGUUUGGUUAAGUCCCGCAACGAGCGCAACCCCACUCUUUAGUUACUUGUCUAAAGAGACUGCACAGUAAUGUAGAGGAAGGAUGGGAUCACGUCAAGUCAUCAUGCCCCUUAUGCCUUGGGCUGCAAACGUGCUACAAUGGCGAACACAAUGUGUUGCAAACCAGCGAUGGUAAGCUAAUCACCAAAUUUCGUCUCAGUUCGGAUAGGAGGCUGCAAUUCGCCUCCUUGAAGUUGGAAUCACUAGUAAUCCCGUGUCAGCUAUAUCGGGGUGAAUCCGUUCCCA